GACGAACGCUGGCGGCGUGCUUAACACAUGCAAGUCGAACGGAAAGGCCCCCUUGUGGGGUACUCGAGUGGCGAACGGGUGAGUAACACGUGAGUAACCUACCCUUGACUUUGGGAUAACUUCAGGAAACUGGGGCUAAUACCGGAUAGGAGCUCCUGCUGCAUGGUGGGGGUUGGAAAGUUUCGGCGGUUGGGGAUGGACUCGCGGCUUAUCAGCUUGUUGGUGGGGUAGUGGCUCACCAAGGCUUUGACGGGUAGCCGGCCUGAGAGGGUGACCGGCCACAUUGGGACUGAGCUACGGCCCAGACUCCUACGGGAGGCAGCAGUGGGGAAUAUUGCACAAUGGGCGGAAGCAUGAUGCAGCAACGCCGCGUGCGGGAUGACGGCCUUCGGGUUGUAAACCGCUUUCGCCUGUGACGAAGCGUGAGUGACGGUAAUGGGUAAAGAAGCACCGGCUAACUACGUG
This 465-nucleotide ribosomal RNA is filed under the name uncultured bacterium. RNAcentral's name for it is "partial 16S ribosomal RNA". It matches the Rfam family "Bacterial small subunit ribosomal RNA", at positions 28 to 507 of the family's 1533-position model. The record is from RNAcentral.